This 508-nucleotide ribosomal RNA is filed under the name uncultured bacterium. Its description in RNAcentral is "partial 16S ribosomal RNA". The record is from RNAcentral.
GGAGUUAGCCGGUGCUUCUUCUGUGAGUGAUGUCCUUCCUGCCGGCUAUUAACCCGCAGGCCUUCUUCCUCACUGAAAGUGCUUUACAACCCGAAGGCCUUCUUCACACACGCGGCAUGGCUGGAUCAGGGUUGCCCCCAUUGUCCAAUAUUCCCCACUGCUGCCUCCCGUAGGAGUCUGGGCCGUGUCUCAGUCCCAGUGUGGCUGAUCAUCCUCUCAGACCAGCUACGGAUCGUCGCCUUGGUGAGCCGUUACCUCACCAACCAGCUAAUCCGACAUAGGCUCAUCCGAUAGCGCGAGGCCCGAAGGUCCCCCGCUUUCCCCCGUAGGGCGUAUGCGGUAUUAGCCUGGGUUUCCCCAGGUUAUCCCCCACUACCGGGCAGAUUCCUAUGCAUUACUCACCCGUCCGCCGCUUCGCCACCAGGGAGCAAGCUCCCCGUGCUGCCGCUCGACUUGCAUGUGUUAGGCCUGCCGCCAGCGUUCAAUCUGAGCCAUGAUCAAACUCUGA